This 72-nucleotide transfer RNA is filed under the name Clostridia bacterium. RNAcentral's name for it is "tRNA-Phe". It matches the Rfam family "tRNA". Rfam says of the family: Transfer RNA (tRNA) molecules are approximately 80 nucleotides in length. Their secondary structure includes four short double-helical elements and three loops (D, anti-codon, and T loops). Further hydrogen bonds mediate the characteristic L-shaped molecular structure. tRNAs have two regions of fundamental functional importance: the anti-codon, which is responsible for specific mRNA codon recognition, and the 3' end, to which the tRNAs corresponding amino acid is attached (by aminoacyl-tRNA synthetases). tRNAs cope with the degeneracy of the genetic code in two manners: having more than one tRNA (with a specific anti-codon) for a particular amino acid; and 'wobble' base-pairing, i.e. permitting non-standard base-pairing at the 3rd anti-codon position. The record is from RNAcentral. Lineage: Bacteria; Bacillati; Bacillota; Clostridia.
GGGACUGUAGCUCAGGGGUAGAGCGGGGGCCUGAAGAGCCCCGCGUCGGUGGUUCAAUUCCAUCCAGUCCCA